This 253-nucleotide ribosomal RNA is filed under the name uncultured bacterium. RNAcentral describes it as "partial 16S ribosomal RNA". It matches the Rfam family "Bacterial small subunit ribosomal RNA", at positions 524 to 776 of the family's 1533-position model. The record is from RNAcentral.
GACGUAGGGGGCCAGCGUUGUUCGGAAUUACUGGGUGUAAAGGGUUCGUAGGCGGUGCGGCAAGUUGGGAGUGAAAUCUCUGGGCUUAACCCAGAGGCUGCUUCCAAAACUGCUGUGCUUGAGUGUGGGAGAGGCGCGUGGAAUUGCAGGUGUAGCGGUGAAAUGCGUAGAUAUCUGCAGGAACACCCGUGGCGAAAGCGGCGCGCUGGACCACUACUGACGCUGAGGCACGAAGGCCAGGGGAGCAAACGGG